UGGGGAAUAUUGGACAAUGGGGGCAACCCUGAUCCAGCAAUGCCGCGUGUGUGAAGAAGGCCUUAGGGUUGUAAAGCACUUUCGCCCGUGAAGAUGAUGACGGUAACGGGAGAAGAAGCUCCGGCUAACUCCGUGCCAGCAGCCGCGGUAAUACGGAGGGGGCGAGCGUUGUUCGGAAUUACUGGGCGUAAAGCGCACGUAGGCGGCGCGUCGAGUUAGAGGUGAAAGGCCUGGGCUUAACCUGGGAACGGCCUUUAAUACUGGCGUGCUGGAGUCCGGGAGGGGGUGGCGGAAUUCCCAGUGUAGAGGUGAAAUUCGUAGAUAUUGGGAAGAACACCGGUGGCGAAGGCGGCCGCCUGGCCCGGGACUGACGCUGAGGUGCGAAAGCGUGGGGAGCAAACAGGAUUAGAUACCCGGGUAGUCC
Molecule: ribosomal RNA, 424 nt
Filed under: uncultured prokaryote
Description: bacterial SSU rRNA
Rfam family: Bacterial small subunit ribosomal RNA
Source: RNAcentral